GAAUUCAACUCCUACGGGAGGCAGCAGUGGGGAAUUUUGCACAAUGGGGGAAACCCUGAUGCAGCGACGCCGCGUGAUUUAGAAGGCCUUCGGGUUGUAAAAAUCUUUUUUACGGGAUGAAAAUGACAGUACCGUAAGAAUAAGGUCCGGCUAAAUACGUGCCAGCAGCCGCGGUAAUACGUAUGGACCGAGCGUUGUCCGGAAUCAUUGGGCGUAAAGGGUACGUAGGCGGCCUAGUAAGUUAGAAGUUAAAGAAUAUAGCUCAACUAUAUAAAGCUUUUAAAACUGCUAGGCUUGAGAGAUGGAAGGGAAAGUGGAAUUCCUAGUGUAGCGGUGAAAUGCGCAGAUAUUAGGAAGAAUACCGGUGGCGAAGGCGACUUUCUGGUCAUCAUCUGACGCUGAGGUACGAAAGCGUGGGUAGCAAACAGGAUUAGAAACCCUAGUAGUCCAGGCGUU
Molecule: ribosomal RNA, 456 nt
Filed under: uncultured bacterium
Lineage: Bacteria
Description: bacterial SSU rRNA
Rfam family: Bacterial small subunit ribosomal RNA
Source: RNAcentral